This 385-nucleotide unclassified non-coding RNA is filed under the name uncultured fungus. RNAcentral's name for it is "partial contains small subunit ribosomal RNA, internal transcribed spacer 1, and 5.8S ribosomal RNA". The stretch from base 1 to 73 matches the Rfam family "Eukaryotic small subunit ribosomal RNA", at positions 1759 to 1831 of the family's 1831-position model. The record is from RNAcentral. Lineage: Eukaryota; Fungi.
ACAAACUUGGUCAUUUAGAGGAAGUAAAAGUCGUAACAAGGUCAUCGUAGGUGAACCUGCGGUGGGAUCAUCAAUAAUCUACCAAAACACAACCCAACGGUGUGAACUUGUGCUGAUUAUGUUUGUUGCUGGAGGCCCGUAGCGCAUGUUGCGGGUCGACUGUAAUCUUUUUUCUGUCUUCCUGGCCGGGAUUUAUCUCGCCGGGGGCGACAGGGGAAUACAUCUUGCACUCUACAGUGUUUGUAUACGGCCAACCAUGUAAACUUUCUGCUCUGCAGAUCGAACUACACAUUUUUUUGCUCUUUCGCUGUAACGGCGUAGGCAGUAAUUCUAUAAAACUAUUAAUGGUGGAUCACUUGGCUCUCGCAUCGAUGAAGAACGCAGC